GCCUUCCUAGCUCAAUGGUAGAGCAGUGGACUUUUAAUCCAUUGGUUCAGGGUUCGAGCCCCUGGGAAGGCACCA
RNAcentral lists this transfer RNA (75 nucleotides) under Ilumatobacteraceae bacterium. Its description in RNAcentral is "tRNA-Lys". It matches the Rfam family "tRNA". From Rfam's summary of the family: Transfer RNA (tRNA) molecules are approximately 80 nucleotides in length. Their secondary structure includes four short double-helical elements and three loops (D, anti-codon, and T loops). Lineage: Bacteria; Bacillati; Actinomycetota; Acidimicrobiia; Acidimicrobiales; Ilumatobacteraceae. The record is from RNAcentral.